This 2904-nucleotide ribosomal RNA is filed under the name Clostridium perfringens. RNAcentral's name for it is "23S ribosomal RNA". It matches the Rfam family "Bacterial large subunit ribosomal RNA". Lineage: Bacteria; Bacillati; Bacillota; Clostridia; Eubacteriales; Clostridiaceae. The record is from RNAcentral. RNAcentral also lists the same sequence under 1 other name.
GGUCAAGCUACAAAGGGCGCAUGGUGAAUGCCUUGGCAUCAGGAGCCGAUGAAGGACGUGAUAAGCUGCGAUAAGCUUCGGGUAGGCGCACAUAGCCUGAGAUCCGAAGAUCUCCGAAUGAGGAAACUCACAUGGGAAACCCCAUGUAUCAUUAAGUGAAUACAUAGCUUAAUGAAGGUAACCCAGGGAACUGAAACAUCUAAGUACCUGGAGGAAGAGAAAGAAAAAUCGAUUUUCUUAGUAGCGGCGAGCGAAAGGGAAAGAGCCCAAACCGGAAACUUGUUUCCGGGGUUGAGGACAUAACAUAAAGAGAAGUAAUGGCUAAUUGAAGAGAACUGGAAAGUUCCACCGUAGAAGGUAAUAGUCCUGUAAAUGAAAGCUAGUAUAAUCGAGUUAUGAUCCAGAGUACCACGAGACACGUGAAACCUUGUGGGAAGCAGGGAGGACCACCUCCCAAGGCUAAAUACUACCUGAUGACCGAUAGUGGAGCAGUACCGUGAGGGAAAGGUGAAAAGAACCCCGGGAGGGGAGUGAAAUAGAACCUGAAACCGUGUGCCUACAACCGCUCAGAGCCCCUUAUGAGGGUGAUGAGGUGCUUUUUGUAGAACGAGCCAACGAGUUACGGUAUGUAGCAAGGUUAAGUACUUAAGGUACGGAGCCGAAGGGAAACCGAGUCUGAAUAGGGCGACUAGUUGCAUGCCGUAGACCCGAAACCGGGUGACCUAUCCAUGGCCAGGUUGAAGCGAGGGUAAAACCUCGUGGAGGACCGAACCACGUUGCUGUUGAAAAAGCAUGGGAUGAGCUGUGGAUAGCGGAGAAAUUCCAAUCGAACCCGGAGAUAGCUGGUUCUCUCCGAAAUAGCUUUAGGGCUAGCGUCGAGUAUGAGUAGUGGAGGUAGAGCACUGAAUGGGCUAGGGGGCAUAGCGCUUACCGAACCUUAUCAAACUCCGAAUGCCACAUACUUUGAGCUCGGCAGUCAGACUACGAAUGAUAAGAUCCGUGGUCAAAAGGGAAACAGCCCAGAUCGUCAGCUAAGGUCCCAAAGUGUAAGUUAAGUGGGAAAGGAUGUGAGAUUUCUAAGACAACUAGGAUGUUGGCUUAGAAGCAGCCAUUCAUUAAAAGAGUGCGUAAUAGCUCACUAGUCGAGAGAUCUUGCGCCGAAAAUGUAACGGGGCUAAACUUACCACCGAAGCUACGGGCUUGAACUUAGUUCAAGCGGUAGGAGAGCGUCGUAACCGGGCUGAAGUCGUACCGUAAGGAGCGGUGGACUGGUUACGAGUGAGAAUGUUGGCAUCAGUAGCGAGAUGUGGGUGAGAAUCCCACAGGCCGAAAACCUAAGGUUUCCUCAGGAAGGUUCGUCCGCUGAGGGUUAGUCGGGACCUAAGCCGAGGCCGAAAGGCGUAGGUGAUGGACAACUGGUUGAUAUUCCAGUACCACUACCAUCGUUAUUAUCGAUGGCGUGACGCAGGAGGAUAGUGUGUGCUAGCUAUUGGAUGCUAGUCUAAGCGUUUAGGCAGUGAGAGUAGGCAAAUCCGCUCUCAUAAUGCUGAGGCGUGAUGGGGAAGGUUCCACGGAACCGAAGUACAUGAUUCCACGCUGCCAAGAAAAGCGUCUAGAGAGAGAAGUAGUGCCCGUACCGCAAACCGACACAGGUAGGUGAGGAGAGAAUCCUAAGGCCGGCGGAAGAAUUACAGUUAAGGAACUCGGCAAAUUGACCCCGUAAGUUCGCGAGAAGGGGUGCCUACGAGAGUAGGCCGCAGAGAAUAGGCCCAAGCAACUGUUUAGCAAAAACACAGGUCUCUGCUAAAGCGUAAGCUGAUGUAUAGGGGCUGACGCCUGCCCGGUGCUGGAAGGUUAAGGGGAACACUUAGCGCAAGCGAAGGUGUGAACUUAAGCCCCAGUAAACGGCGGCCGUAACUAUAACGGUCCUAAGGUAGCGAAAUUCCUUGUCAGGUAAGUUCUGACCCGCACGAAUGGCGUAAUGACUUGGGCACUGUCUCAACUGUAAAUCCGGCGAAGUUGUAGUGCGAGUGAAGAUGCUCGCUACCCGCGAUUGGACGGAAAGACCCCGUAGAGCUUUACUGUAGCUUAGCAUUGAGUUUUGGUAUUGUCUGUACAGGAUAGGUGGGAGACUAGGAAACCAGGGCGUCAGCCUUGGUGGAGUCAACCUUGGGAUACCACCCUGACAGUACUGAAAUUCUAACUGGCGGCCAUGAAUCUGGUCACAGGACAUUGUUAGGUGGGCAGUUUGACUGGGGCGGUCGCCUCCUAAAAAGUAACGGAGGCGCCCAAAGGUUCCCUCAGAACGGUCGGAAAUCGUUCGAAGAGUGCAAAGGCAGAAGGGAGCCUGACUGCGACACCCACAAGUGGAGCAGGGACGAAAGUCGGGCUUAGUGAUCCGGUGGUACCUCGUGGGAGGGCCAUCGCUCAACGGAUAAAAGCUACCUCGGGGAUAACAGGCUGAUCUCCCCCAAGAGUCCACAUCGACGGGGAGGUUUGGCACCUCGAUGUCGGCUCGUCGCAUCCUGGGGCUGAAGUAGGUCCCAAGGGUUGGGCUGUUCGCCCAUUAAAGCGGCACGCGAGCUGGGUUCAGAACGUCGUGAGACAGUUCGGUCCCUAUCCGUCGCGGGCGUAGGAAAUUUGAGAGGAGCUGUCCUUAGUACGAGAGGACCGGGAUGGACUGACCUCUGGUGUACCAGUUGUUCCGCCAGGAGCACAGCUGGGUAGCUAAGUCGGGAAUGGAUAAACGCUGAAAGCAUCUAAGCGUGAAGCCAACCUCAAGAUGAGAUUUCCCAUAGCGUAAGCUAGUAAGAUCCCUUGAAGAACACAAGGUUGAUAGGUCGGGGGUGUAAGCAUGGUAACAUGUUCAGCUGACCGAUACUAAUAGAUCGAGGGCUUGACCAA